RNAcentral lists this ribosomal RNA (502 nucleotides) under uncultured Glomeromycotina. RNAcentral's name for it is "partial small subunit ribosomal RNA". It matches the Rfam family "Eukaryotic small subunit ribosomal RNA", at positions 591 to 1092 of the family's 1831-position model. The record is from RNAcentral. Lineage: Eukaryota; Fungi; Glomeromycota.
CCAAUAGCGUAUAUUAAAGUUGUUGCAGUUAAAAAGCUCGUAGUUGAACUUCGGGGUUUACCCAUUGGUCAGGCUUAAUUGUCUGUACUGGUGAGAUGAAUCUCUACCUUCUGAGGAACUUUCAUGCCAUUUAGUUGGUGUGAUUGGAAAUCAGGACUGUUACUUUGAAAAAAUUAGAGUGUUUAAAGCAGGCUAACGUCUGAAUACAUUAGCAUGGAAUAAUGAAAUAGGACGGAUUGGUUCUAUUUCGUUGGUUUCUAGGAUCACCGUAAUGAUUAAUAGGGAUAGUUGGGGGCAUUAGUAUUCAAUUGUCAGAGGUGAAAUUCUUGGAUUUAUUGAAGACUAACUAUUGCGAAAGCAUUUGCCAAGGAUGUUUUCAUUAAUCAAGAACGAAAGUUAGGGGAUCGAAGACGAUCAGAUACCGUCGUAGUCUUAACCAUAAACUAUGCCGACUAGGGAUCGGACGAAGUUAAUUUUAUAAUGACGCGUUCGGCACCUUGCG